Molecule: ribosomal RNA, 904 nt
Filed under: uncultured bacterium
Lineage: Bacteria
Description: bacterial SSU rRNA
Rfam family: Bacterial small subunit ribosomal RNA
Source: RNAcentral
AUAGCGGCAGACGACUGAGUAACACGUAGUCAACCUACCUGUAACACAGAGAUAGCCACGCGAAAGUGUGGGUAAUAUCUGAUAGCCCGUAUAGGUGAAAUUCCGGUACGGUAAAGGCGCAAGCCGGUUAUAGAGGGGACUGCGGCCCAUCAGCUAGUUGGCAGGAUAACAGCCUACCAAGGCAAGGACGGGUAGGGGGCGUGAGAGCGCGACCCCCCAGGAUGGCACUGAGACACGGGCCAUACUCCUACGGGAGGCAGCACUCGGGAAUUUUCCACAAUGGACGAAAGUCUGAUGGAGCGACGCCGCGUGAAGGAUGAAGGUUUUCGGAUCGUAAACUUCUUUUGCCAAGGAAUAGGAAGGAAGGUACUUGGCGAAUAAGGGGCUGCUAACUGCGUGCCAGAAGCAUCGGUGAUACGUGGGCCCCAAGCGUUGUCCGGAUUUAUUGGGCGUAAAGCGUACGUAGGCUGUUAAGCAGAUUUCUUUUCAAAGACCCAGGCUCACCUUGGGGAAGGGGGGAAAUAUCACUUAACUCAGAAAUAGGUAGGGGAGAUCGGAACGCGUGGUGGAGUAGUGAAAUAUGUUGAUAUCACGCGGAACGCCGGUGGUGAAGACUGAUCUCUGGGCCUUAUUUGACGCUCAUGUACGAAAGCUAGGGGAGCGAAACGGAUUAGAUACCCGUGUAGUCCUAGCCCUAAAUGAUGUCCGCUAGGCGUCGGUUUAAGCAUGAUUUUUUCUUCGGAAGAUGUCGUGACAAAUCGGUGUCGAAGCUAACGCGUUAAGCGGACCGCCUGGGUAGUACGGCCGCAAGGUUGAAACUCAAAGGAAUUGGCGGGGACCCGCACAAGCUGUGGAGCGCGUGGUUUAAUCCGACGGUAAUCGUAUAAUCUUACCAAGGUUUGAC